RNAcentral lists this ribosomal RNA (407 nucleotides) under uncultured bacterium. Its description in RNAcentral is "partial 16S ribosomal RNA". It matches the Rfam family "Bacterial small subunit ribosomal RNA", at positions 30 to 526 of the family's 1533-position model. The record is from RNAcentral.
AUUGAACGCUAGCGGGGUGCCUUACACAUGCAAGUCGAACGGAGUGGCGAACGGGUGAGUAAUGUACCGGAACGUGCCCAGUCGCGGGGGAUAACUACGCGAAAGCGAAGCUAAUCCCGCAUCCUAUUUGAGCGCCCGUGAUCGGAUUAGCUAGUUGGUGGGGUAACGGCUCACCAAGGCGACGAGCCGUAGCUGGGUUGAGAGGACGACCAGCCACACUGGGACUGAGACACGGCCCAGACUCCUACGGGAGGCAGCAGUGGGGAAUUUUGGACAAUGGGGGAAACCCUGAUCCAGCCAUCCCGCGUGUGCGAUGAAGGCCUUCGGGUUGUAAAGCACUGUUGGCAGGAAAGCGGUACCUGCAGAAUAAGCACCGGCUAACUACGUGCCAGCAGCCGCGGUAAUUC